Molecule: ribosomal RNA, 411 nt
Filed under: Actinomycetes bacterium
Lineage: Bacteria; Bacillati; Actinomycetota; Actinomycetes
Description: Actinobacteria bacterium partial 16S ribosomal RNA
Rfam family: Bacterial small subunit ribosomal RNA
Source: RNAcentral
UGGGGAAUAUUGCACAAUGGGCGCAAGCCUGAUGCAGCGACGCCGCGUGGGGGAUGACGGCCUUCGGGUUGUAAACUCCUUUCGCUAGGGACGAAGCUUUUUGUGACGGUACCCAGAUAAGAAGCACCGGCUAACUACGUGCCAGCAGCCGCGGUAAUACGUAGGGUGCGAGCGUUGUCCGGAAUUACUGGGCGUAAAGGGCUCGUAGGUGGUUUGUCGCGUCGUCUGUGAAAUUCCGGGGCUUAACUCCGGGCGUGCAGGCGAUACGGGCAUAACUUGAGUACUGUAGGGGUAACUGGAAUUCCUGGUGUAGCGGUGAAAUGCGCAGAUAUCAGGAGGAACACCGAUGGCGAAGGCAGGUUACUGGGCAGUUACUGACGCUGAGGAGCGAAAGCAUGGGUAGCGAACAGG